RNAcentral lists this ribosomal RNA (495 nucleotides) under uncultured bacterium. RNAcentral describes it as "partial 16S ribosomal RNA". The stretch from base 13 to 382 matches the Rfam family "Bacterial small subunit ribosomal RNA", at positions 40 to 399 of the family's 1533-position model. The record is from RNAcentral.
GAUGAACGCUGGCGGCGUGCCUAAUACAUGCAAGUCGAGCGAACGGACGAGAAGCUUGCUUCUCUGAUGUUAGCGGCGGACGGGUGAGUAACACGUGGAUAACCUACCUAUAAGACUGGGAUAACUUCGGGAAACCGGAGCUAAUACCGGAUAAUAUUUUGAACCGCAUGGUUCAAAAGUGAAAGACGGUCUUGCUGUCACUUAUAGAUGGAUCCGCGCUGCAUUAGCUAGUUGGUAAGGUAACGGCUUACCAAGGCAACGAUGCAUAGCCGACCUGAGAGGAGGACAAAGAAGAAUGGGAAUGAGAAACGGGCAAGAAGCCUAAGGGAGGCAGCAGGGGGGAAGUUGGGAUGAUGGGCGAAAGACUGACACAGAAAUGCCGGGAGGGUGAUGAAGGACUUAGGGUGGUAAAGCAAGGGGGGAGGGAAAGAAAAGGACGGGGGAAAGAUCAGGGGGAGAUGACGGUAUAAGAAGAAGAAGAACCGGCGAACUAAG